GAUGAACGCUGGCGGCGUGCCUAAUACAUGCAAGUCGAGCGAACAGACGAGGAGCUUGCUCCUCUGACGUUAGCGGCGGACGGGUGAGUAACACGUGGAUAACCUACCUAUAAGACUGGGAUAACUUCGGGAAACCGGAGCUAAUACCGGAUAAUAUAUUGAACCGCAUGGUUCAAUAGUGAAAGACAGUUUUGCUGUCACUUAUAGAUGGAUCCGCGCCGCAUUAGCUAGUUGGUAAGGUAACGGCUUACCAAGGCAACGAUGCGUAGCCGACCUGAGAGGGUGAUCGGCCACACUGGAACUGAGACACGGUCCAGACUCCUACGGGAGGCAGCAGUAGGGAAUCUUCCGCAAUGGGCGAAAGCUUGACGGAGCAACGCCGCGUGAGUGAUGAAGGUCUUCGGAUCGUAAAACUCUGUUAUUAGGGAAGAACAAAUGUGUAAGUAACUAUGCACGUCUUGACGGUACCUAAUCAGAAAGCCACGGCUAACUACGU
RNAcentral lists this ribosomal RNA (496 nucleotides) under uncultured bacterium. RNAcentral's name for it is "partial 16S ribosomal RNA". It matches the Rfam family "Bacterial small subunit ribosomal RNA", at positions 28 to 506 of the family's 1533-position model. The record is from RNAcentral.